This 236-nucleotide long non-coding RNA is filed under the name Elaeis guineensis (African oil palm). Its description in RNAcentral is "long non-coding RNA (EGUI_LNC064933)". The record is from RNAcentral. Lineage: Eukaryota; Viridiplantae; Streptophyta; Magnoliopsida; Arecales; Arecaceae.
AGGGCUUUAGUAAAAGGGUUGAUUAGAUUUUCUUCCAUCGAUCUUCUAAAGAUCAACGUCACCUCGAUCCAUAAUAUCUCGGAUAAAAUGAUAGCCGUACAGAAUAUGCUUGGUGCGCUAAUGGGACCUUGACUCCUUGGCUUGAGCAAUGGUUCCAAUAUUAUCACAGUAUUACAAAAUAGGACCGUCAACAGAGGGUGCCACUCCAAGCUUGUCGAUAAACUUCCAUAAUCAUA